Molecule: small nucleolar RNA, 107 nt
Organism: Dendrobium catenatum
Lineage: Eukaryota; Viridiplantae; Streptophyta; Magnoliopsida; Asparagales; Orchidaceae
Source: RefSeq, a predicted model, not a curated record
AAAGCAUGGUAAGGGAAAUUCCUAAGAAUUUUUUUAAAUCUCUCCCAACUCUCAUAAAUUAUUUCUACAUCAAACUGUGUAAAACAAGUGAAAUCAUUUAUAUGUUU